AUUGAACGCUGGCGGCAUGCUUUACACAUGCAAGUCGAACGGCAGCACGGCCUUCGGUCUGGUGGCGAGUGGCGAACGGGUGAGUAAUGUAUCGGAACGUGCCCAGUCGUGGGGGAUAACGUAGUGAAAAUUACGCUAAUACCGCAUACGAUCUAUGGAUGAAAGCGGGGGAUCGUCAGACCUCGCGCGAUUGGAGCGGCCGAGAUCAGAUUAGGUGGUUGGUGGGGUAAAGGCCCACCAAGCCGACGAUCUGUAGCUGGUCUGAGAGGACGACCAGCCACACUGGAACUGAGACACGGUCCAGACUCCUACGGGAGGCAGCAGUGGGGAAUUUUGGACAAUGGGCGAAAGCCUGAUCCAGCCAUUCCGCGUGCAGGAUGAAGGCCCUCGGGUUGUAAACUGCUUUUGUACAGAACGAAAAGGUUUCUACUAAUACUAGGAGCUCAUGACGGUACUGUAAGAAUAAGCACCGGCUAACUACGUGCCAGCAGCCGCCGUAA
This 500-nucleotide ribosomal RNA is filed under the name uncultured bacterium. Its description in RNAcentral is "partial 16S ribosomal RNA". It matches the Rfam family "Bacterial small subunit ribosomal RNA", at positions 30 to 523 of the family's 1533-position model. The record is from RNAcentral.